RNAcentral lists this ribosomal RNA (497 nucleotides) under uncultured bacterium. RNAcentral's name for it is "partial 16S ribosomal RNA". It matches the Rfam family "Bacterial small subunit ribosomal RNA", at positions 28 to 507 of the family's 1533-position model. The record is from RNAcentral.
GGCGAACGCUGGCGGCGUGCCUAAUACAUGCAAGUUGAGCGAUGAAGAUUGGUGCUUGCACCAAUUUGAAGAGCAGCGAACGGGUGAGUAACGCGUGGGUAAUCUGCCUUUGAGCGGGGGACAACAUUUGGAAACGAAUGCUAAUACCGCAUAAUAACUUUAAACAUAAGUUUUAAGUUUGAAAGAUGCAAUUGCAUCACUCAAAGAUGAUCCCGCGUUGUAUUAGCUAGUUGGUGAGGUAAAGGCUCACCAAGGCGAUGAUACAUAGCCGACCUGAGAGGGUGAUCGGCCACAAUGGGACUGGGACACGGCCCAAACUCCCACGGGAGGCAGCAGUAGGGAAUCUUCGGCAAUGGACGAAAGUCUGACCGAGCAACGCCGCGUGAGUGAAGAAGGUUUUCGGAUCGUAAAACUCUGUUGGUAGAGAAGAACGUUGGUGAGAGUGGAAAGCUCAUCAAGUGACGGUAACUACCCAGAAAGGGACGGCUAACUACGUG